AGGACCAUUCCAGGGAAACAGCAGCUG
RNAcentral lists this non-coding RNA (27 nucleotides) under Cricetulus griseus (Chinese hamster). The record is from RNAcentral. Lineage: Eukaryota; Metazoa; Chordata; Mammalia; Rodentia; Cricetidae.